UCCCGGUUGGCCCGGGCAGUCUCGUCUGAAAAAUCCAACAGACGACAAGGGUUGCGCUCGUUGCGGGACUUAACCCAACAUCUCACGACACGAGCUGACGACGGCCAUGCAACACCUGUCACUAGGUUCCCGAAGGCACUCCCCUAUUUCUAGAGGAUUCCUAGGAUGUCAAGCCUUGGAUAAGGUUCUUCGCGUAGCUUCGAAUUAAACCACAUGCUCCACUGCUUGUGCGGAGCCCCGUCAAUUCCUUUGAGUUUUAAGCUUGCGCUCGUACUCCCCAGGCGGCAGGCUUAACGCGUUAGCUUCUCAGCGCAAAGGGUCGAUACUUCACACUAAUAGCCUGCAUCGUUUACGGCGUGGACUAC
RNAcentral lists this unclassified non-coding RNA (365 nucleotides) under uncultured bacterium. RNAcentral's name for it is "contains 16S-23S intergenic spacer region". The record is from RNAcentral.